Molecule: ribosomal RNA, 466 nt
Filed under: uncultured bacterium
Lineage: Bacteria
Description: partial 16S ribosomal RNA
Rfam family: Bacterial small subunit ribosomal RNA
Source: RNAcentral
CGAACGCUGGCAGCGUGCUUAACACAUGCACGUCGAACGGAAAGGCCCUGCUUUUGUGGGGUGCUCGAGUGGCGAACGGGUGAGUAACACGUGAGUAACCUGCCCUUGACUUUGGGAUAACUUCAGGAAACUGGGGCUAAUACCGGAUAGGAGCUCCUGCUGCAUGGUGGGGGUUGGAAAGUUUCGGCGGUUGGGGAUGGACUCGCGGCUUAUCAGCUUGUUGGUGGGGUAGUGGCUUACCAAGGCUUUGACGGGUAGCCGGCCUGAGAGGGUGACCGGCCACAAUGGGACUGAGAUACGGCCCAGACUCCUACGGGAGGCAGCAGUGGGGAAUAUUGCACAAUGGGCGGAAGCCUGAUGCAGCAACGCCGCGUGCGGGAUGACGGCCUUCGGGUUGUAAACCGCUUUCGCCUGUGACGAAGCGUGAGUGACGGUAAUGGGUAAAGAAGCACCGGCUAACUACGUG